ACCAAAGUCAUAAUACCAGAUAGGCCACUGCCACUUCCCUCCAUUGUCUCUUAGAACUUGAAGGUAUGAAUUCAUUGCUGAAGAUAACACACACCUCUGGGACGCAGGACUUGAGGGAAGUCACCUGGAACUGACUGAAGGUCCCUCUGCAUGGAAGAGCUUCCAGAGUGAGGGAGAGCUCGUUUCCUCAUGGAUGCCCAAGCCUGCAUGCUCUCACUAAAUUACUGUUGGGCCACUGCUGAAGCUGCUGUAGACAUUCAAGUGAUCUGGAUGACAUCUUCUUUAGGGAAAAGGGAAAGCUAGUAUCUGCAGAGACAUUUGGACCUAUGGUGGGACUUCCUUGGAAAACGUGCAAGAUGUACAAAGGGUAUAACACUAAAUGUCUUAAGAAAGUUCUUAUUAAGCAAGUUGAUGAUCAUCCAAGAGAACUGCAUUCUCGUUUACUUUGUAUAAUGAAGAUGAUGCUGCAGAGUGUAUAAAUGCCUCCAUUCUGGCAAUGCUUUCCUAAGGAAACCUCUUUGGAUACAGCAUUAGUAAGCACCUGUAAUAGCACUGCAGCUAAAGCGAAAUGGGCAGAGACAGGACGAUCCGAGAUGCUCACAGGACUAGACAGCCCAGCAUAUGCAUCAGUGAACAGGAGGGUCUGUCUCCAACAAGGUUUGAAAGAAGAAUGAAGAUAGACUGUUGGAAGAAUGAACACUGUAACAUUUUGCAUUUUUUCAGAACGUGUACAAGAGGGUUUGAGUGUGGGAGUAUUGGCAGCAUUGAUGAAGGCUUUCUGAAAAUCAUUACCCAGAAUAAGAUGUUCCCAUUUGUACAUAAGACAGGCAUUCAACAGUACAGUAAUACUCUAAUAUGUGUGGUUCAUGAACAUAAAACUGAGAUGAAAUUCAAGGAUGAUGUCUUUUAUCUGGUAAGAAGACCGAUGGUCAGGCAUUGGUAUUUGUGGGUUCAUCAGAAUUUUAAGAGCCUCUAGGCUACAUUUCUAAGGAUUCAGGAGUCAGCAGCGGCAGACAAGGGUACUCUCAGGACUGGAAUGGGUAUGGCAAGUGGCUAGGGACACAACCUGCCACGUUCUAUCACCUACGUGUCAUUCUAUUCCAACAGAAACAUGGACUGCAGCCUUGGGGCCCUCAUAAAAAGUUUUCUGUAAUGGACACUGACAAAGGCUUGAAAACAAAUGUAAAAGCAGAGGAUACUCAUUGGGAUCUGACAAGUGACCUGUGCACCAGAGGUCACUGUGGGCCACUUAAACCGGGGAAGAGGCAGGGCAGAAGUGGGGGUAAGCUGGGGCACAGACAGGUUUACCCUCUGCCCUGAGGCUGCGUUUCAAGGUUCCAUAGUUAUGCAAUCUUUUGAAAUCAGCCCAAAUGAACAAAAUGAUCUUCAGCAUUUACUGUGGAAAUGAAAAUGCAUUGGCUCUGCUGUGACUAUUAACCUGAGUCAGGUAAUAUUGAGAAGUGAUAUAUAGAGUCUGCUGGAGCAGAUAGGUAGGACUGUGUCUAAGGCCAAGCGCCUGGCAGCUGGCUGCAGAAGGCAAAGUUCUCUUCUAGUGAAAGUGGUUUGCUGAGACCAGAGUACAAUUCUGAGACUCUAGAUGGGAAAACUAUGAUUUGCUCAUGAAUAUUUUAACUCUAACAGAUCUCCAGGUAAACAAACUACUGUGCUAGAAUAACUGGACCUAUAAAAUGAAUGUGAUUACUCCCUUUUAGGGAGGCAUGCAGUGUUGACUUUCACAGCUAGCUAGAAUUUUAUAUAGUAAAAACUAAUUAAGGUAAGGAAUUGUUAAUCAGUGCAAUAUUAUCAUUUGAUCAGUCUACCACCUUGACUAAAUAAGAAACUAAAGAAAAUUAGAAAUCUUAUUUAGGAGCUCCGUUAUUAUUCUUAGUAAAAAAAAAAAAAGUGGAGUGAUAUAUCUUUUGAUUGAAGCACAAAACUAUCAUAGAUUUAUAGGACUAUCAGUUCAAGUCCAGAAUCUUCUGUGGAAAUUCUUGAGUGAAUACAAAUGACGGUUCUGUUGAGUUUUAGAUGCUUUCAUUUUAAACAUUAGGACCCGUAUUGGUUCAAUCACAUUUAGAAGACAAGGGCUUCUGAUAUCUAUUGAUUUAUUCCUUCUUUCCCCUGUGUGAAAGAUUACUCUCACUAAUUUUGCCUUCAACCCAUUUCUCCAUGACAUAAUUUGUAAAUAAUGGUUUUAAGCACACCCUUUCCGCUUAUUACCUUAAAGUGGUUCCUGGUAGGAGCUGGAGUGAUCGCUCAGUGGUAAGAGUGCUUGCACACAACUAUGCAAGCUUGUUUUGAGUCCCCAGGACCCAUGCAAAUUGUUCAGCAUGUGACCCUACCCAUCAAGGGGUAGAGGCAAGGGCAUCCAGAAGGGUGAGCUUGCUGGCCAGGCAACCCAGCAGGAAUGGCAAGCUUCCUGUUCAGAAAGACUUUGUCAAGGCAAUAAGGCAGAAGAUGAAAGAGGAAGAGACUUAAAGUUCUCUGAUUUCUGCAUGCACACAUAGGGGCAUAUUUGCCUACACAUUCAUGUGCAUGCAUGCAACACACACACACACACACACACAAGCACAAACAUACACAAAUGUUUUUGAGAGGUAUUUUCUCUUACAUACACUGACAUCUUAGAAAAAUCUGAAAAAAUAUUGAAUAAUUUGUUUUAGUGUCCUAAAUAAUUGUAUCAUGUUUUAAUUAACAUGCUAUACUGUGCCUUCCAUUAGUUAGGGUUCAUUUAGCUUUUAGAGGGACUUAUAAUAAAUAUUGGCCUCUAGGCUUGCUCAAAGUAUUGUUUCCUAAGUAGCAAACGUAAGAUGGCCUGAUUCUAGAAUUUUCUGUCUUUUUUUUUUUUUUUUUCAUUUGGUUUCUAUUGAAAACAGCAACAUGUAAGUAUGUUGCUACCCUUUAUUGGGCUGCUGGCAGUAAAUACCACACAAAGUGUUAACAUUCCUGCAAUGUGUUGAUUAGGAGGGGGAGGUGGGUAACUCCCACCCUUCAUGCUGAACAUAAGGCCUGGUUCCAUCCCAGGAUCAAUGCUGUUACGGGAUACCUGACUAGCAUUCAGACAUCCCUGUUUUACAAAUGGCUCCCCAUUGGCUAUUGAUGAUCGGCUAUGUUGGGAUCACUGUGUAAGUGCCUAAACACCACUUUAGGAAAGAGUAAACUCAUCACUUCACAUUAUGUGGAUUGAUGGGUUCACACGUUCCCAAAUAGCUGCAGAUGUUCAGAGGGAGAAUUCAAAGGGGGUUCAUUUCAGGAGGUAUAUUUCUGUAAUUGUGUUUAAAGGAGGGUAGCCCAGAUCAGAAUGAGGUUGUCUGCCCGGCAAUAAUUAGACCCUCUACCUUUGAGAACUACCUAAUGGUUCCAGUUCUACACACUGGGUAUGUCUCUCUGAUGCUGCUCUCUAAAGUUGGGCUAGAAUGCUGUUUAAAUUCUAUAUUAAUGAAAGUGUCCAAAGAGAAUGAUAUUCAUAUAUAAGAAUUCCACAUGUAGAGGACGUAGGACAAAUUCUUACUUUAGAAGGGACAUUUCAAGAUAACUGGUAAAAAGCCCCUGUAAGAUAUUUCAAAACUUCAAGUUAUAGAUGGAGAAAGCCCUUUAUUUUCAGAAACCAAAGGGGUUGUGGGGUUGUAUUCAGCAGUGAAUGAUAACUUCAGCGAUCAAAAGCACGGACCUGGCCAGUGAGGAUGGGUCUGAUUUAUGUCAAAGUUAAGUUUGGGAAAGACAUAGUUUCUCUCAGGAAAGACAAAUAUUUUAAAGGUAUGUGAUUCAUACAGUAAAUAUUAGUGUUCUGCUGAGCUACAAAAUGGCUUCCAAAUGGGCCACAGCUGUUUGAAAUAAAGUACAAAGUUGGCCAGAAGAGGAUUUAAAAAUCAUAAUAUAUCAUUUAUCAUUUCCUCAGCUCAUCUAAACACUUUUGAAUUCAUCCUUCCUUAACAUAGUUAUAUGCUGUGGUUUGUUAUUCCAAGAAAGCCACCAUUUCCUAUCUAAGCAUAGCAUCUCGUUGGUUAAACUAAAACCUGUAUAAUAGCUAACCCAAAACACACUUAGACAUCAGAUAGCCUUUCUGGAGGAAGCAAAUCCUGCUCAUGUGACCCUGUGAUUCACUGAAUGAUCUAAAUAUCACUGAGUGCAUGCGUUUUUAUAGGCUGAUAAUCCCUAAUUAAAAUCAGCACUUCAACGUCAGUGACUAUGACACACUUAACCAGAAUAAAAAUGCAAUGUAAUCUGUCAGUUCACUCUUGCAUUCUUCUUCCCCAAACAAUCUAUCCAGCUCACAGAGGAAAGCAACAGCUUAAAAAUACUUGAUAAUUCCCGCGUCCUUUCUUCUCUCUAGCUCUGGGUUGUAAUCUCUAGUCAGUUUACUUCAACAGUUGUUAGAGUCAUAAGAAGAAAAGGUGCAAAAUUCUUCUUAUUCAGAAUUCUAUUCAAACCUUAUUUAAAAGCUGACAAGGUGCUUUCUCUUUUGGUUAAACACAAAUGUGUUUUUUUUUUUCCACCACCAUUUCUUAUUUAUGGAAAAUGCUUAGCCAUAGAAUUAUGUAUGAAGAAGAAUAACUUCAUCACAAUUCUGGAGAUACCUCUAUAGCAACUUCAUCUAUAUAUAAUGAUAUAGUGAUAUAUAACAUCACUUUCAGGGAUGACGCCCUUUAGAUCAGUCAGAGAAAGUGUGUCAGUAUUUUGCAUGCACCUUGGUCCUUAAACAUGGCUACCUAUCUAUUUUGUGUAACUUGCUCAGCAUCUUUAUAAGGACACUCUAACUGGAAAAACUUCAUAAGGUUGUAUUUCGAGGACUGAAAACAUUAAAUGAUAUGACAGAAAUCUUGCUAUCGAUUCCUUUUGAAGAUUGUUUGAUACACCUGAAGGGUUUUGGCCAUGUUGAUGCCAUCUGUUCCUGGCUACUAGGGACCAGAAAUGGGCCGCUUGGCUUUAGAAAUGGUUGCAGAAUAUUUCAACUGAUUUAUUAAAUGAAGAGGACUCACUAAGCACUAUGUUGUUAAUUAAUUAUUCUUAACUAACAGGCUGACUCCUAUGCGCCUAAAGUAGCAUGGCACAUGAAGGGUACGGACACCAAGUAGCAACAAAGUCAUGCUUUGGCUGCAUGCCUCUUGUCAUUGUCAUCAUCAGGCUCUUCCUUUUGUAGCUCCUCCAAAAAGAAUGUUGCCUUGCUAUUAUCCCUCCUGUUUCACAGAACAGGAAAUACAGACACAAUAAACAAUACUCUAUGGCAGAAUUAGAAAUGAAUCAAAGCAAUAUGGUAUCAAAGAUUCAUUUGUGUUUGCUCAUGGCUCCCCCUAGAUAUGAAAAUGCCUUCAGAUGUGCCUUGAAAUUUGUAACUGUAAGGUCUGGUCUAUUUCUCAUGAUAGAAGUCCAGCAUUCAGAGCAGUGUCUAAUACAUAGUAGGUGCUCAGGAAACACAGACAUCAGCAAAUGAUAGGACAGUAUUCUGAUAAAUGUGCUGGCAGGUGGUACUGUUAUGGUGUUGACAUAGCAGUGUGCUUACACAAAACAGUAGCUGCAAUGGCAUUGGGCUGUAUAAUCGCACAAAUUACAUCUUCUAAAUUAAAACACACAUCAAUGGAAACAGAGAAUUUGAUAGAUAUGCAACUUGUCCCAAACAUAUGUACAAAUGAAGAGUUGUAACAGACUUGAAGGAAUGAAUAUCAACUGGAGUUAUCUUCUCAUCCAAGUUAUGGAAACAUUUAAAUGGAUUAUUAACUCUUACUGUAUAUAAAUUAUAAAUAUUCAAAUACCUGAAUUACACAUGUUUAUAUUCAUAGUUCCAUAAAACAUGUAUUGAUACACACACACACACACACACAUAACCUGGCUUUAGAAGUAAAAUGUGCUUAACAUUUCAAGUUAUAAUCUAAUUGCCCAUUUGUAAAUUUCUGUGAAUAUAAAUUUUGCUUACAUGCUUUGGUCUUUAUUAUUUUUUUGCUAAUUAAAUUUUUCUUUAUAUAUUAUUUGAAUAUUGUGAUUUUUGAGAAUAAUUACUUUUUAUCGUAUUUUCUGUUUCUGAGUGUACAUAUAUGGGUACCAUGUAUUUCCAUCAUACCUAUCCUCCCAUACCUUCUUCAUCUUCUCCUAUGUCCUUCCGGGCACCUCCCUAACAAAUUCAUACCCUCUUCCUCUAUAAGUGUGUGUGUGUGUGUGUGUGUGUGUGUGUGUGUGUGUGUGUGUCAAUGCUGCCUUGUGUACUUGGGUAUAGUGCUGAGAUUUCUGCAUGAACCUAUUGCUUUACCUAUCCAAUAACCUAUCCAAUAUGCUUCAGCUUUUAGAGAGUAGGAAACACACCAUGUUUAUAUGUAAAUUCUUAAGAAAAACUUACACCCGUUCAAAUGCUAUACUAUGGCAGGGUUGUCGUUAACCUUAGGUAUGGUUGACAUAAAAUUCAAAUUUUGUCUUAAGAUAAGGAGCAAAGUCCCCAGUAGCAUUUGUGUAGUGGGUGUCUGAGCAGUAACGAGGAGGAAAUGAUUGGAUUCCAUGGGCUCCGAGGAUUUGUCAGCCGCUUCCUAAGUAUAAUUCUGGCUCUUCGUAUCCCUGCUGCUUCUAAUUUAGCAGGACAGGCUCAUAAUUGAAGCAAAUUAACUAUUUACAGUUGCCCCUUCUACCAGGGAAGAAGAAACAGCAGCAGGAAGAAGGAGGAAAUGACACUCUUCCCACUUGUCAGAUCUGCCCUUAUAUAAACACAUUAACAGUAAUUUCAUGAGGCGUCAAACAUAGGAAUAAAUACUGAGAGAUAAAAUAAUGAGGUGCUGCUAUUGAGCUGAACUGCUGGGGCUAAUAUCCUUGGAUAUGAAUUAUGCAUCCCGAAAGAAGGCAUAUGCUACAGUAUUCAAACGCGUUCCCGGCAAGUGAUGUUUGCUCAUUAGGCUGUGCAUCUCGAGGUAAAUCCACUGUCUUCUUCCACGACAGGACUAGCAUUUACAAAAAUACACUCUCCAGGCACCCGUGGGCUGCGGUUUCCCCAAAUCCAAAUACACCAAACCCGAAUAGGCUUUCCACUCCAUUUUUAGCAUAACAGCAUGUUUAUUUAGCUCUUGGCUGCAGCUUUAAAGCCAUUUAACGUAAUGUAAACAAGAACAUUUUGUUUGUAAUUUGCUAAAUGUCUUACAGCCCGACUGUGUCUCCAAUUAGGAACUUAAGGUUCAUUUAGUAAUUUACAUCUGGUUCUGAUUUAAGGUGACUUUCCAUGACUAAAAGGGACUGAAGAACCCUUUACAGCUCUCUGGGUCAACCUGUUCUGUUGGAAGCUGACCAAUCCUUUCAUUUUAUAGAGUUGGAAUUGUCUUAUAUCGUCAUCAUGAGCUCAGGCCCUAUACCAUAGUGAUAAGAACCAGAGAGCUUCUCAAAGUCAUGAAGGGAGAUGAAAAAUGUAGAUGGAACCUUGUAAAAAAGGUGAGGGCUGCUGCAGUAAGGCGACACGAUGCAAGGUGAUAGGACUGUUAACUUCUUUUUCUUCCUCUGCAGCCUCUAGUCAGGGAGAGAAAAGUAGCAAACCCCAUAAUCACAGCAAUGCUUGUGUUUUAUCCCCCUUCUCCAUCUGGUGUCUUUUAAGCCACUUGGUAUGCUUCUGAAAUGGGUUCUUCAUUGUUGUAAGAGUCAUUAGCAUUUAAAACCCCCGGUUGGAAUCCGAAGCACUGUUUUCUCGGCAUUCCAGAUUCGGCAUUGUCUCCCCAAGUACUAAAAUGGAGCCUUCUCUGAGCUGUGGAGAGUGCUCAGCAUCUUUGGAGGGAAGGGUUCAUGGCGAAGGUUGUUUUCCUUGACCACAGUUGUUGCUCCUCUUGCCUUCCGUUCAAUUUCUCUUCAUUGGCAGAGUAUUUGCAGGACCAAAGAACACACAGCAUCUCAUUCACCAUGGAUUCUAAAGUUUAAACAUCUGUUCUCCGUGCUGCCUUCCCAUCCCUGCCUCAACUCCACACUGAGCAGGCACGGCAUGGAAACACAGUGUUCUAUUAGGUGUGUUCCUUCUGGUUGGCAGAAAGCUCUUUAUUUGUAAUCUCGAUAAUGAUGUUUUCCUUUAAAUAGUGUAAUUUUCCAAGUUCCUAAUAAGUCAUUGAUAACUCUAUCCAUCUCCCUCUGUGUGUUUUUAUAUUGGUAGCUGCUCACAAUUGUGGGCUAUUAUGACAACAGGGUUUUCAAACAACUACAGCACACGAAAUCUCGACCUCCUACCCUAACUGCCUACAUAAUCUAAAACAAUCAUGUGGACUUGUCUAAACUAAUUUAGGAGUGUUCCUUUAAAAGCACAGAGCAGUAAGUAGGCUCCCCAAGUUGGAAUCUUAAGUGAGAGUUGAGUGCAAUUACUUUAACGUUGAAGCAGAUAUUAUAGUGAGUUGGCACAGCGAGUCAACAUUAAGACAGGCUGAACAGGUGGUGAUGCAGCAGAUAGAACAUUCUGGAAUCAUUUCACGAUGGAGUGUGGAAGCUCCAGAGUGCCUUUUGGGCAGGCACGUUUGCCACACUGGCAUCUCCUGCAAACAUUCAGUGAUAGGCUGCCACAGAGCAGCAGAGCAGCGGCCAGGCCACAGGAUGCCCAGAUGGGUGUCGGCCGUAUGUGUGUUGUAGUGCAGCAUCAUAAUCCAGUUGUUGGAGAGUAACGUACAGUCUCUGUCUUUAUUAAACAAGAGCAUCUUUAAAGGAAAAGAAUCAGCUCUCCUGGAUUCCUGCUACCACAGGGAACAUCAGGUUCAGUAUCUCAGAAGAACCUAAAUUGCUCACAACACCUUGUUUGGGUGACUCUCAAAAAAGUACUCAAAUUUUAAAAUACUUACUUCCUUCAAGAAAUAUAAUAUGAUAACAUUUUCUUAGAAAGUCUCGACUUAAAUAUUAUUAUUCAGUAGAUUUGAUUCUUGGACAUGAAUCAUAUUGUCAACUAGUGUAUAAUUGUAUCCUUUAUUUAUCAAUGAAUUUUCUUUCAACACCUCAACUACUUCUGCAAAGGACAGAUCCUGGGCUGUAAAAAGUCUUUAUAGACUUCUCUCUUAAAAACCCUGGUUUUGAAUAUAGGAGAGUCUUAGGACAACUGGGACCUCAGAGGCAUGUAAGAAAAGUCGACUAAGUGUUAGGUAGAGAAAGUGAUGCUUUUGAAAAAAGCAGAAGACAAGGUGGGACAAAGGGCAAACAUGUAUAUCUUCUAUGAGCAAGGGUUGCUGUGCACUAACCUGAUGUUAAGGCACUCUCUGGAACUUCCUCUGGGAAAUUUAUUCUCAGAGAAGAGAAGGACAGGGUAUGAUGCUUAGAACAUUUCCAAGAGUACGUGGAAGAUUAGCAGAACAGCAGAAUAGCCAGGCACGGACAUGACAUUGUUCAGAGAAUACGGCCAAGGGCUGGUCUUUCUCAUCCAUGCGUGCUUUGGCCAUCAUUCAGCAAUUGGAUGGGGGAGGGGCAGAUAACUGGAGGGAAAGAUACCUGUAGAGUUCCACCCUCAAUUGGAAACUUCAUUUAAGAUCUGAGAGUAUAGAAAAUAAUUGAUCUGAAUUAGGGACCAGCUUGAAACUGUCUCCAAAAUCCUGACAUGAUCACAUUAGGUUUCACUUACAGUGCAGCAUUGCCUGGUCUAUUAGCAAUCACAUGGCUAUGUUAACUGACUGUACAGAGAGUAGAGUGCUAUGAAUACAGACGUGUGACACCCGGGCUGGCUUUAUAGGAGCUCACUUCCUUAUGUGUUUAAACUCAGGUCUUCACAUUUGUACAACAAGCACCUUACCUUUGUUUUAAAAUACAUUUCCCUGGACAUGAUGAAGAGUCAAAUGUUAUCUUAACAUAUGAUUAGUAGUGCAACAACUCUUUUUGCAAUAGCUGGGUGUAUGUUGUUAUUUUGACAAUUUAUUUUAGUUAUCAUGAUUAUUAAUGUUUGUGGCAAUAAUACUAUAUCGUGACAAUGACUAUCUACCCUCUAGUUUAGACAUAGAAUUAAUAUUUCUUCUUCAUGUAGGUGAGCUCUCAGUGUGUGUGUGUGUGUGUGUGUGUGUGUGUGUGUGUGUGUGUGUGCUCGCGCACCCUCGGUAAGAUUUCCUUGAUGACUGCUGGUACUGCUGGCAUGCCUCACACACCGAUCCCUAAGCAUGGCGCCCAGUCACACCCUGGCCAUCCAUAAGAAAAGAAAGCAAAAGCAUCUGUCUGGUCCCACUUAACACAGCCGGGAAUAUGAGCUAGAUAUAUGUGAGGGUUAAAUAACAGACCCUUGUGAUCUGUAGGGAAGGGACAAGGAUAACAACAAACUUGAGGUUCAUUUGCACCAAAGAGUUUGAUGACAGGAUAGUAAAUAGCAAGCACCGAAGGGAGGUAUAGAUAGUUUCCAAAGGGAAAACUUUUAGUCUAUGCUCAUAUGGGCAACAUUAAGAAGUGAUGUAAUCCUGGCUGGGCUAUGUGGAAGUCCUUCCAAAAGCUGCUACACUGUAGAAACUUUGAAACGAGGGAAAAUAACAUGUUACUUAGGGAAGAGUAUAAAGAGAGUACAAGAUUAAAUGGCACUCUCUCUCUCUUUUUUUUUUUUUUUUUGGAGACAGGGUUUCUCUGUGUAGCCCUGGCUGUCCUGGAACUCACUUUGUAGACCAGGCUGGCCUCGAACUCAGAAGUCUGCCUGCCUCUGUCUCCCAAGUGCUGGGAUUAAAGGCGUGAGCCACCACUGCCCGGCUAAAUGGCACUCUCUUAAAGUAUGGUUCAGAUGGGGCACUUUCGAAGUCAUAGUUAUAGUGUCUGACCAAUUUCCCUGAGGUUCAUAGAAGCUAUCUCUGAAGCCCACACACACUGUCUGCCAUCAAGCUAAUUCCAGUGAUGUUAAACCCUCUUACC
Molecule: long non-coding RNA, 10797 nt
Organism: Mus musculus (house mouse)
Lineage: Eukaryota; Metazoa; Chordata; Mammalia; Rodentia; Muridae
Product: predicted gene 11802
Exons: 5
Source: RefSeq, a predicted model, not a curated record